AUAAUUUUAGAAUUUCAUGUUGAAAAUAAAUCGAAUUACAAAACCGAUUGAAUUUAGAGAACGUUCCUAAUCGAUUUUGGAAUGAAAUCCUAAAACUAAGUUCCUAAUUCUAGCCCACUUUGGUAAAGCCCAUUGUGAUAAACCUAAACCCCCAUAAUCUCAUCUCACGUGAAACCAAAGAAACAACAAAAGAAAAAUCUCUCUCCUUCAUCCUUCACCCUUCACGUGAACCCUCAAACCCUCAAACCUUGCAGCCGCCAGCCACCAGCCACCGCACACCGCCUGCACCACCCUCGCCGUCGGCGUCUCCUCCUUCGUCCGCAACCACCACCCACCUACGAAACUGACCGCGACAGCCACCGUCCUGUGUCGUCGCCGACCAACCAGCACCAACUUCGCAAUCCUUCCACACGCAAACAGUCCUCCCUUUGGCUUGCUCCUUGCUCACGGCACCACCACCAACGACCCGAGCAACCCUCGCUGCCACCAUCGACAGCCGCCACCGCCGCUGCCGCGCCAUCUCCGACCGCCGUCUAACCACUCUUCAUUCUUUCUUUUGGUGGAGAAUUCUCCGUAGGCGACUUUUGAAUUCUUAAAGUGGUCUCGCAUUUUGUUUACACAAGUCUCUAAGGAUCAAUAAGCGUUGCCCAUCUACAGGUUUGAAGAUGAUGCAUCAUUGGGAUCGGGAUUAGAGAGCUUGUAGUUCAUUUGAUUUUCUAAGUUGGAUUUGGUUUGUUUAAGUGGACUCUAAAACUUAUUGAAUUAGUAACAUUAACUUUGUUUUU
This is a long non-coding RNA of Spinacia oleracea (spinach), 785 nucleotides long. RefSeq lists it as uncharacterized. The transcript is spliced from 4 exons. NCBI's taxonomy places the organism in Eukaryota, Viridiplantae, Streptophyta, Magnoliopsida, Caryophyllales, Amaranthaceae. The record is from RefSeq and is a predicted model, not a curated record.